RNAcentral lists this ribosomal RNA (556 nucleotides) under uncultured Methanonatronarchaeia archaeon. RNAcentral's name for it is "bacterial SSU rRNA". It matches the Rfam family "Archaeal small subunit ribosomal RNA", at positions 316 to 872 of the family's 1478-position model. Lineage: Archaea; Methanobacteriati; Methanobacteriota; Methanonatronarchaeia. The record is from RNAcentral.
CCGGGCCCUACGGGGCGCAGCAGCCGCGAAACCUUUUCAAUGUGCGAAAGCACGAUAAGGGGAUUCCAAGUGCAAGCGCAUUGCGUUGGCUGUUCUCUAGCCUAAAAGGCUAGAGGUAGUAAGGACCGGGCAAGACCGGUGCCAGCCGCCGCGGUAACACCGGCGGUCCAAGUGGUGGCCACUUUUAUUGGGCCUAAAGCGUCCGUAGCCGGCCAAGUAAGUCCUUUAGGGAAUCUGGUGGCUUAACCAUCAGGCGACUGAGGGAAACUACUUGGCUUGGGACCGGGAGAGGUUCCGGGUACCCCAGGGGUAGGGGUGAAAUCCUGUAAUCCCUGGGAGACCGCCUGUGGCUAAAGCUCGGAACUAGAACGGGUCCGACGGUGAGGGACGAAAGCCAGGGGCACAAACCGGAUUAGAUACCCGGGUAGUCCUGGCCGUCAACGAUGCCUGCUAGGUGUAGGCCGUAGCACGUCUGCGGCCUGUGCCUUAGUGAAGACGUUAAGCGGGCCGCCUGGGAAGUACGUCCGCAAGGAUGAAACUUAAAGGAAUUGGCGGG